GCAUAUCAAUAAGCGGAGGAAAAGAAACCAACAGGGAUUGCCUUAGUAGCGGCGAGUGAAGCGGCAAAAGCUCAAAUUUGAAAUCUGGCACUUUCAGUGUCCGAGUUGUAAUUUGAAGAAGGUAUCUUUGGGUCUGGCUCUUGUCUAUGUUUCUUGGAACAGAACGUCACAGAGGGUGAGAAUCCCGUGCGAUGAGAUGUCCCAGACCUAUGUAAAGUUCCUUCGAAGAGUCGAGUUGUUUGGGAAUGCAGCUCUAAGUGGGUGGUAAAUUCCAUCUAAAGCUAAAUAUUGGCGAGAGACCGAUAGCGAACAAGUACAGUGAUGGAAAGAUGAAAAGAACUUUGAAAAGAGAGUGAAAAAGUACGUGAAAUUGUUGAAAGGGAAGGGCUUGAGAUCAGACUUGGUAUUUUGUAUGUUACUCUCUCGGGGGUGGCCUCUACAGUUUACCGGGCCAGCAUCAGUUUGAGCGGUAGGAUAAGUGCAAAGAAAUGUGGCACUGCUUCGGUAGUGUGUUAUAGUCUUUGUCGAUACUGCCAGCUUAGACUGAGGACUGCGGCUUCGGCCUAGGAUGUUGGCAUAAUGAUCUUAAGUCGCCCGUCUUGAAACACGGAC
Molecule: ribosomal RNA, 612 nt
Filed under: Lodderomyces parapsilosis
Lineage: Eukaryota; Fungi; Ascomycota; Pichiomycetes; Serinales; Debaryomycetaceae
Description: eukaryotic LSU rRNA
Rfam family: Eukaryotic large subunit ribosomal RNA
Source: RNAcentral